Molecule: ribosomal RNA, 445 nt
Filed under: uncultured bacterium
Lineage: Bacteria
Description: bacterial SSU rRNA
Rfam family: Bacterial small subunit ribosomal RNA
Source: RNAcentral
UCCAGACUCCUACGGGAGGCAGCAGUGGGGAAUAUUGCACAAUGGGGGAAACCCUGAUGCAGCGACGCCGCGUGAGUGAAGAAGUAUUUCGGUAUGUAAAGCUCUAUCAGCAGGGAAGAGAAUGACGGUACCUGAGUAAGAAGCCCCGGCUAACUACGUGCCAGCAGCCGCGGUAAUACGUAGGGGGCAAGCGUUAUCCGGAUUUACUGGGUGUAAAGGGAGCGUAGACGGCGAAGAAAGUCUGAAGUGAAAGCCCGCGGCUCAACCGCGGAACUGCUUUGGAAACUUUUUUGCUGGAGUACCGGAGAGGUAAGCGGAAUUCCUAGUGUAGUGGUGAAAUGCGUAGAUAUUAGGAGGAACACCAGUGGCGAAGGCGGGUUCCUGGACAUUAACUGACGCUGAGGCACGAAGGCCAGGGGAGCGAAAGGGAUUAGAUACCCCGGUA